RNAcentral lists this long non-coding RNA (618 nucleotides) under Homo sapiens (human). Its description in RNAcentral is "HSALNT0308283". Lineage: Eukaryota; Metazoa; Chordata; Mammalia; Primates; Hominidae. The record is from RNAcentral.
UCUGCCGCGGCCGGGAAGUUCGAACAGAAGUCUGGGGAAGAGCCGGCGAAGAGCAAAGAGAUAAUACAGUACUCCCAGCUAUAGCAAGCGGCAGUUAUGGAGCAUGCGCAGCAGCAGGGGCGGCCGCAGUCAAGGGAUUUGUACAGCCCUGUAGGAGACACCUCCAGAGAAAGUAACAGCUCUCAAUUGAUUAGCUGAGCCAGAAUUAGCUUCUGUUACUUACAACUGUGAGUCCUGACUGAAAACAUAUUUCUUCCUUUGAAGAACUGUUACCUGUAACAGGCUAAGAAGAAUAUUAAGAAUAAACAGAUGCUUUUACAGCUCGCCUUGGCGGGAAGAUCUGGCACAAAUGAAGUAUCUAUAAGGAGCAGCAGAGUCAAGGUGGUGAUCCUGUGGAUGAAUAACUGAAACCUGAUAUACUUGACAGCAGAAAAUAUAAAGCAAAUUGAAAAGGAGAGAGUGUGGAGAUAAAUAAGAAAAUGAAAGAACUGAUAAAGUCACUUGGAUUAAAAAACCUGGGAGUAAGGGCUUUGUUUAUGAUUGAACUUAAGAGAGAAUUGAGGGACCACCUACCUUUGAUGUUAACGAGAAAGUAAAGAGGAAACAUAUUUAGAGAUA